Centrocercus urophasianus (Greater sage-grouse) is the source of this 279-nucleotide long non-coding RNA. RefSeq lists it as uncharacterized. The transcript has 3 exons. NCBI's taxonomy places the organism in Eukaryota, Metazoa, Chordata, Aves, Galliformes, Phasianidae. The record is from RefSeq and is a predicted model, not a curated record.
CAUGCUCAGCUCUAACUGUAAACAUACUGUACUGGGUACCAAAGGAACGAAGCCUUGCUAAUUGAAGGCUAUGGAGUCUGCUUUAUCGACUGUUUGGUACAGAACACUGCUGGCUGAAUACUGUAUAUGAACAAGCAAGACAGACUGAAGUCUCAGAGAGCUCUUUCCUCGCAAUUGUCUCUGCGUGGCUUACAGGACAGAAUAUGAGAAUAACCCAGCACAAGGCAGUGUGAAAGGAAACCUGAAUCUAUUUACCAUUAAGAAGCCCUGGACUGAACU